Molecule: transfer RNA, 72 nt
Filed under: Marmota monax (woodchuck)
Lineage: Eukaryota; Metazoa; Chordata; Mammalia; Rodentia; Sciuridae
Description: tRNA.Ala
Source: RNAcentral
GGGGGUCUAGAUCAGUGGCAGAGUGUUUGCCGAGCAUGCAUGAAAUCCUAGGUUCCAUCCCUAGCAUCCUCC